CACACAUUGACAGUACCCACUGACAAGCCAGAGCAAGUGGGCGACCAACCCGCACAGUGACACUCUACUUGUGCAUAUACUACUUCCCGGUCGACCGAAGACUCACUGUCAUGAACAUGGAGACCGGGUUCAGGAGACGCGACCUGACAUGAGUAUGGCGGACAAGCGUGCGGAAACACGGGGCACCACUUAAAAUAAUUUGGAGACGCGGAUCAAACAUGUAGACAACUGUAGACGUCAGCCAUACAGUGUUGGAGAAAAACCUUAAGAGGUAUAGGAGACAGGUCGUGUGUCCAGGUAAAGGAGAGGCGGGUCGCAUCAAGUGUAUUACCAUAUCAUGCCAGGAUACUUUCACUGUCACAGUGGAUACUGAACUCUUACAGAAUGUCGACUUCCUCGCAAAUACCUUUGACAACAAGUGAAUCAACGGAAUCAACAACAGUGUCAACAGCAUCAACAACAACAACAACAACAGCAACAACUUCAUCAACAAUGACGACACAAACAACAUCAAUCACCAGUACAACUUCACCUUCAGAAGAUACAAACACAUUGAUGUACGUUGGUGUGGGAAUAGGAGUGGCGGUGGUUGUUAUUUUCGCGAUCGUUGCCGUGCUGUUAUGGUGUCGUUGUCGAAGGAGGAGGACGCCAGACUCCCAACCGGAAAUGCCGAAACCCUAUCCCCCCAGUGAUGCCGGAAUCCGAGAUGUCGACUUCAACAGAUUUUCUUGUCCAAAACGAGAGCCUAUCUGCAGACUCCCUGCCUAUAGCCCCACCUCCGCCUCAAGUCGAGUUUGAGCCCAAUCCCCAGGGAAGGUUCGACGAGUUGAACGAGAACACAGCUGGUGAAGACGAGGAAGGUGGUGAAGACUACUUACAGCCUGGCAGCUGGAAGCCCGCGUCAGAUGAUCUGUACAUACCUAUGGAUGUCCAUGUCAAGCAGGAACCACCCGUCCCGUCAAGUCAGCUGACGGUCGAGUAUGCUGGCCCCAGUUCACAUCCCCCCAAACCAGUAGCGUGCCAUGGGUCAAAAGGGUAUGUGAACAUCCCCAACUCCGGCGCACCACGUGUGCAACACCGGUCAGAUAUCCAAAGGUGAAGGAAGAAGACGAGGAGGAAGAAGCUCAAGAAGACUACCAGAAUGUUCCUACAGCAUCAACUGGUAACGGUGUUGCGCAGAACAACGCAAACACGCUUCCAAAAUAUGCAAAUCUGUCUGCCGAGGAGAUGAUGCGUGCCUCACCUCGAUCUCUCCCUAAAGUGCCAAAGACAAAUGUAAAGGCAGGACAGCCGAAGAAUGUAAAGAAGGAACAGCCAACAAAGGUAAAGACAGAACAGACGACUAAUGCCAAGACAGCACAACCGGCAAAAGCAAGGGCAGAGCAUACGCCCAAAAAGGUCACACCAAAGGUCACACCUAAAGUGAAACACAAACAGCAGUCUCAGGAAGAGAGCGAAGAAUCAGCACCUGACUAUGUCAAUGUCAAACAAUAUUCAAAAAAGGCGGAAGUAAGUGGCCGACCGGACAUGGUGGAACUUAAGCUUGCUUUGAAAUCAAGAAAGAAGUAAACAUUAUUAAGUGAACGUACACGUUAUGAAAUGCAAUUAGUGUCUUUCAACUGGGAGGUCAUUUUGAUUAGGGGUCCAAUACCCCUUCAAGGACUUUUGCUAUGACCCGUUAGCAUUCAGCACUGUGGCUAAGGUCUGUGCUGUGACCAGUGGGGAUCUGUGAUGUGGCCAGUUGGAGGUCAGUGCUGUGACAAACGGGAGGUCAGUGCUGUGACAAAUGGGAAGUCAGUGCUGUGACAAAUGGGAGGUCAGUGCUGUGACAAAUGGGAGGUCAGUGCUGUGACAAAUGGGAGGUUAGUGCUGUGACAAAUGGGAGGUCAGUGCUGUGACAAAUGGGAGGUCAGUGCUGUGACAAAUGGGAGGUCAGUGCUGUGACAAAUGGGAGGUCAGUGCUUUGACAAAUGGGAGGUCAAUGCUGUGACAAAUGGGAGGUCAGUGCUGUGACCAACGGGAGGUCAGUGCUGUGAUAGCAAGACACAGACAUCUGAACUUGCCACAUUCCUUCAGCUAUAUAAAUGUUCUAUACAAACGUAUCUUCGAGCGUCUGUGUGAUAAAACUGCCACUCUUUGUGUAUGUGGAACAGUGUAUAUUCGAAGUGGAUAUAUUCUACUUAAUGUGAUAUCUGAAGCCCCAAUGACAGUGGAUAUUACGUGGGCAGUUAGCGUGAUCUGAUACUAUGGACCGGAAGCGGAAGUUGGCUGGAUGUGCUUGAGCAGCCACGUGACACAGCCGGGAUCUCACAAGGAAUUGUCUUCAGUAGCGCACACCUUAUUCGGAGAAAAUCACCACACUUAAUA
Long non-coding RNA from Haliotis rubra (blacklip abalone), 2367 nucleotides. RefSeq lists it as uncharacterized. The record is from RefSeq and is a predicted model, not a curated record. The transcript is spliced from 5 exons. NCBI's taxonomy places the organism in Eukaryota, Metazoa, Mollusca, Gastropoda, Lepetellida, Haliotidae.